RNAcentral lists this transfer-messenger RNA (397 nucleotides) under bovine gut metagenome. It matches the Rfam family "transfer-messenger RNA". From Rfam's summary of the family: Bacterial tmRNA, also known as 10Sa RNA or SsrA, is named for its dual tRNA and mRNA-like properties. The record is from RNAcentral.
GGGGAUGUUUUGGAUUUGACAGCGUUGAUGUCGGAUGGUAAGCACGUCGGGCCUCUGAGGGUCGGCCCGUUAAUCUCAGCCUUCGAAAAAUUAGUUGCCAAUAACAACUACGCACUCGCUGCCUAAUUAGACAUGUUCUAGUUGGCUCAAUUCCAGCCGCCAAGGCUGCGGCAGGAACGAGGAUCCCUCGGGUUUGGCCCCCUCGGCCCGAUUAAGGGGUUUCAUCAGACGGGGAUAGGACGGCGGACUCCGCUAUUGCCGUCCGAGAUUUCAGCGGAUAAGCUGUGGCUAGCCCGUCUUUCGGCAGGCCGCGGACGAAAACUAAAGGAAGAAUAAGCGUGUAGAAAGCUGUCUGGUGCGGCGUUUGGACGGCGGUUCGAGUCCGCCCAUCUCCACA